UGAGUGUGCUAUUUCUCGUUGACUGGUAGUACCCGCCUGUGUUAAGAAGGAUUCUGACGCUGUGCCCGGGCUCAGUGGGAAUGCUGGGAUUGACUGAUGCAGACCGCCAUGAGCCUAGUAUGGGAAGUAACUGCAAAGAGCAAAGAUCCUCAAGACUGCAAAAGGAAGUCCAUUAUCUGUCUCACCGAUUUUGGGAUGUCCACAUGACAGGAAGUAUCUGUCCCAUUUCUCAGAGGAGGAAGCUGAGGCUGAGAGAGGUGGAAAGACUUGGCCCAAAUCCCACAGCAAGUAAGUAGUUAAGGAACUGUGCCUGGGUCCUAUAAUUAAAUCCACAGCCUUCCCCGUCCUAUUAUUCCACCUCCACAGGGGGGCUGUGGCUAGGCUCCAUGCAGCCACCAUGGGCUUUGGAACCAAGGCCACCUGUGUGGAGAAAGCCCUCCCAGGAGAUGAUCAGUCUUUUAACAACUAUGCUGGAACAUGAGCACAUGAAACUGUGAGUUGCAGUGUGCAUUAACUGGGAGAAUUAAUCACCACCCAAAGACUUAAUUAUUCAGAGAUAUUACCCCCUUUUCAAUACAUUCUCUUAAAAUGGGCCUGUGAAUGAGGCACCCAGAGUGGUUGAAUUCAGAGACAAAGUAGAAUGGUGGUUGCCGCCAGGGGCUGGGUGGAGGGAGGAAUGGACAGCGGUUGUUUAAUUGUGUGAAGAAUUUCAGUUUUGCGAGAUGAAAAGAGUUCUGGAGAAGAAUGGUGGUAAAAUAAUGUGAGUGUACUUAAUGACACUGAACUGUACACUUAAAAAUAGGGAAGAUGGUAAAUUGUUAUGUGCAUUUUAUCCCAAUUUUUUAAAAAGGGGAGGCUAGUGAGGAGCCCACUGAGGAAUUCUCUACCAAUAAGCCCCAAAUAUCAACUUGCUGUUUUACACCCCAAAUCCAAAAGUCACAAAGUAAAAUAUUUAAAACACUUAUAACAUGAGGGCCACCUGGGUGGCUCCAUUGGUUGGGUGUCUGACUUUGGCUCAGGUCAUGAUCUCACGGUUUGUGAGUUCAAGCCCUGCGUCGGGCUCUGUGCUGACAGCUCAGAGUCUGGAGCCUGCUUUGGAUUCUGUGUCUCCCUCUCUCUCUCUGCCCCUCCCUGACUUGUGCUGUCUCUGUCUCUCAAAAA
Molecule: long non-coding RNA, 1161 nt
Organism: Acinonyx jubatus (cheetah)
Lineage: Eukaryota; Metazoa; Chordata; Mammalia; Carnivora; Felidae
Exons: 2
Source: RefSeq, a predicted model, not a curated record